Molecule: long non-coding RNA, 1013 nt
Organism: Oncorhynchus mykiss (rainbow trout)
Lineage: Eukaryota; Metazoa; Chordata; Actinopteri; Salmoniformes; Salmonidae
Source: RefSeq, a predicted model, not a curated record
GUAUUUGGGGACAAAGAGGAAGCGGCCUACACAAAGGGGGCAGAGAAUGGAGUUGGAAGAGUGUGUUAUGAAGUGUGAGAAGAGAGAGAAAUACCUGUGUGAUUACCUGUUGUGACCUGGACUGUCUGAUUACCCCACUUGUGUACAGGUUUGGUUGAGGACCCGAGUUUUAGGAUUACCCCUGAAGAACGGAACAGACAAUGAGAACGGAUUGUGGACUGUGAAACGGAUCGCAAGGGACCUGGUGGGACCUCUACCCAAGAGCAACCGGGGGCACCAAUACAUCCUGGUGAUUCUGGAUUAUGCCACCUGGUACCCAGAAGCCAUUCCCCUGCGCACCAUGGCCACCAAGGGAAUUGCACACCGAUGGGUUGGUGGAAAGAUUCAAUCAAAACCUGAAGCAGAUGCUAAAGAAGGUGAUGGAGGUGGACGGAAGGAAUUGGGAUCAGCUGCUACCCAACCUGAUGUUCUCGAUCCGAGAAGUGCCCCAAGCGUCAACAGGACUCUCUCCCUUCUCUCCCACAGAUCAGGUGCAGCCCAUGGAAAUGCCAAUGCCCUCUCCAGGAGGGACGCUCUAGGGAGCUGGACCGCCACUCCCUCCCAGUGUGGCAGACAGCAGCGUGAGGUGAGUGGUUAUUGAAGGGAUAUCUUGCAGCCUGCUGGCUCCACCCCCGAGUCUUAUAUGGACUUCCUGCCCCAAUGAGGCGAGCCUGUUGCUCAUUAAGCCAGGGAGUACUUGGGGAUAAAAGAGGAAGCAGCCUGCACAAAGGGGCAGAGAACGGACAGGGAAGCAUGUAGAGUGAGAAGAGAGAGAAAUAUCUGUGUGAUUACAUGUUGUGACUUGGACUGUUUGAUUACCCCAUUGUGUACCGACUCAGUUUGGCUGAGGACCCGAGUUUUAGGAUUACCCCUGGAGAACGGAACGAACAACAAGAACAGAUUGUGGACUGUGGGUUGGUGAAUUCCCCCUUUUCCCCAGUGUGCAAAACUCCCUAAUAAACUCCCCAUUUGCA